This is a long non-coding RNA of Zeugodacus cucurbitae (melon fly), 1984 nucleotides long. RefSeq lists it as uncharacterized. NCBI's taxonomy places the organism in Eukaryota, Metazoa, Arthropoda, Insecta, Diptera, Tephritidae. The record is from RefSeq and is a predicted model, not a curated record. The transcript is spliced from 2 exons.
UAAGAUUUAAGCGUGAUACCUCAGUCUUACCGCGCUAACGUGUCCCUACGAAAGUCACUUCAUUACCGACCUGCCGACCGCCGCACCCAUGUCAAAUGCGGCAAGCCCCAACACUGGUAUUUCGUGAGCCUUCAUUACACUCGCUCCGUACCUGAUAAUAAUCCGCUUCUUUUAUCCGAUUAACUAAGUAUUUGGUGGUGUGCCUAAUCCACCGUGCUUUCGACGUUGAAUGUGUGCGGAGUAUGGCUUAUGCAGGUUCUCUCUUUACGAGUACAUAUUAUUCAUCUUAUGUGUUGUCCAGCCUACCCUAGAGAAGCUUAAAUAGUAAUUUUGUGCCAUCUCAAAUUCUCCAACUUGUUCUUAUCAUGAACGCAUACAUCUCAUUGGUGAUCUCAGGUAAUCCAAUAAGGACAAUACCUUGGCAGUUUCAUCCUUUUUCAUAAGCGUGUGUUGAUACGAAAUUUAAUAAUAUCGAGUGUAUUUCCGUAAUUUCAUUUUUAAUAAUUAUCUAAACAAAGAUACCUGUAUGCUUUUGUAAAUGAACUUUGGAAACAAUACUGCAAAUAAUUGCUAAGAAAUAGACCUGUAUAUGCAAACAGAUAGAUUAUUCAUAGAAAAUCAACCACCCCCUUUUUCGAAAUAGCAUCCUAGGAAUGAAACAAUCACCUAAAGAAGAUCUAGACUUUAAUCAGUGAAGUGAACUAUGUUUAUGUGUUGUUCAUUGUUAAAAGAUAAGAAAAAUAUAGAUUGUAUUGAAUAUAAUGGAAAUAUAAUGGAAAUUAUUAAGACAGUAGUCUGCUUUACGGGCUUCAAAAAAUCGAUUUUUUUGUUUUGUUUUAAAUCUCUUCCAAAACUAUCCAAUAAUAUGUCUUUAAAAUUCCAGAGGCCAAUUUGACAUAUUUUCGAAGCUAGAGCAAUUUUAAUUGCCGACCGUCGAGCAGGUGCGAAUACUCAGGCAGACUUUAAAGCGCGUUUUCUCCAGUUUUCAUUUUCACAAGUGUUAGAAAACGGUGCCGGCGAUAUCAAAAAGAAUAUAUGUCCGAUCGAAAAAACCAAAGUUGGACAAAAGUAUUAUUUAAACCAAAGUGUAUUCAACAAAGUGAACCAGGUAUAUGACAUAUCACAAUUUUUUACCCGAAUGUGACAUGUUUGUUGCCAUUGAUUUAACCCAUACAUUUAUUCAAAAAUUCAAAUUUUGAAAUUCAAAAGUAAACAAAUUUCAAACCAAAAAAAAAAAAUUUUUUUAAAUGAAUAAAAGAAAAUGCCGAAUACUUUCUGCUUAGGCAAAACAACUCAUGGAAGCAAUUUACUAAGGUUUUGUGCUCCAACUGACAAAUUGCAAACAAUUUUAUCAAUAUAUAUUAUAUUGUUAAAGUUAAAAAAGACGGGCUAAUGUAAACAAAAACAUGUAUUGUUUACUAUUUUAUUGUCAAAAGGGGGUAUGUCAAAUACUUAGUUCACUUUGUUGAAUACACUUUGAUUUAAACUACUUGUUUUGCCACUUAAAGUCAUUUUUAUUAAAUUGAAUUUUUUAUCAAACUUCGAAAAAAUUUGGAAUUUUAUAAAUAAAGCAAAUUGCUAAAAAAACGCUUUUUUCGGCUUCUAAGCAGACUACUGCCUUAAACUUAACUAGUGAAUGAAUAAAAUCGCAUAUAAUAUAAAAAAACAUAAUCCACGACGUGAACAACUUCCCAUGAUAAGAAAAUUGAACUGUCAACUAAUGAAAGAGACAGUCAAAGGAGACAAGUAAAGUAUAUUAAGAUAUGAACUUCGAUAUUUGCUGCCCUGUAAAGAUUAUCAAAAUAAUGAUUCAUUGUGAAGACAUGGGGUCAACACAAAUUUGACUUAAUUGCGAGGUGUUUGCUGAUGUUAAGAUGAAAGAAGCUAAGUCCAAAAAGAUGCAACUCUUUUGUGUGAACAUUGCCAUGUUAGAAAGUCCUCAAUCCCUCCACAAAAAAGGACUAUUCUUGGAGAUUUUUUUGUU